This is a non-coding RNA of Cinara cedri, 705 nucleotides long. The record is from the annotation of a GenBank genome assembly. Lineage: Eukaryota; Metazoa; Arthropoda; Insecta; Hemiptera; Aphididae.
AUUGAAGGAUAUAAUUACCUAAAUAUUGUAAUAACGAUUUAUACAUUUACAUAUUAGUAUUAUUAUGUGGAAAUAAUAAAAGAUUUGUUAAUACAUUUAAAAAUAAAAACAGAAACAUUUUCUGCGGUCUCUUAAUGUAGUAUGAAUCAAAACAAAUUUUCUAUAAUUUCAUUCUCAGAAUUUGGAAACAAUUAUUUCUUACGCGAGGCCCUUUUUCAAGCGGGGGGACCAACUUCACGCAGUCAUAACGGACUAAACUUGUCCAAUUUAGGACAAUCUUUCGAUAAUGUUGAGAAUUUUUUCAAAAUGUUUGUAAAUUAUUUUUUAGAAGUUACUAACCACCAAUUUGUCUGAUUUUCUACUUACUAAACAUGCUUGCCAUAGCUAUUGCCGCUAUAGAUCAUAUGCAAAUGAUUUAAUCUAAUUACGAUUGCCUUCUAAACUACACUGUGAGGGGUGGUGAAGCCCUGGUUCAGCUACUACAUUAUUAGGUUGACGAUAGUCAAUGAAAAAAAAAAAAUAAUAAAUACAAUGUACCAGAGCAUGCUUUGUCUUGUAAUACUCAGAAAAGUAGUAGAAGUACAUUUGUACUCUCAUGACGACUUUCAAGUACCGGUCAUUUAUGACAUACAUAAUAACGGCAAGUGCCCAAAACCGGUACGUCCUGUUGUACAAUGUCACCCAGUGUACAGUUUCAAAUAUAAC